ACAACCUGGCAAAUAUGGCAAAAGGUCAUUGAUGCAAACGGAGAAUAUUUCGCUGAUUAAUAUUUUUUCGUUUGUUUUUAAAUAAAGAUUGAAUUUUACAAAAAAAAGCUCAGAACUUU
Molecule: long non-coding RNA, 119 nt
Organism: Trachymyrmex septentrionalis
Lineage: Eukaryota; Metazoa; Arthropoda; Insecta; Hymenoptera; Formicidae
Exons: 3
Source: RefSeq, a predicted model, not a curated record